Molecule: ribosomal RNA, 873 nt
Filed under: Alteromonadales bacterium
Lineage: Bacteria; Pseudomonadati; Pseudomonadota; Gammaproteobacteria; Alteromonadales
Description: bacterial SSU rRNA
Rfam family: Bacterial small subunit ribosomal RNA
Source: RNAcentral
CCUUGGGAACUGCAUUUGAAACUGGUUGACUAGAGUUUUGUAGAGGGUGGUAGAAUUUCAGGUGUAGCGGUGAAAUGCGUAGAGAUCUGAAGGAAUACCAGUGGCGAAGGCGGCCACCUGGACAAAGACUGACACUGAGGCGCGAAGGCGUGGGGAGCAAACGGGAUUAGAUACCCCGGUAGUCCACGCAGUAAACGAUGUCUAUUAGAAGUUUGUGGCUAUAUGCCGUGGGUUUCAAAGCUAACGCAUUAAAUAGACCGCCUGGGGAGUACGGCCGCAAGGUUAAAACUCAAAUGAAUUGACGGGGGCCCGCACAAGCGGUGGAGCAUGUGGUUUAAUUCGAUGCAACGCGAAGAACCUUACCAUCCCUUGACAUCCAGAGAAUCACCUAGAGAUAGAUGAGUGCCUUCGGGAACUCUGAGACAGGUGCUGCAUGGCUGUCGUCAGCUCGUGUUGUGAAAUGUUGGGUUAAGUCCCGCAACGAGCGCAACCCUUAUCCUUAGUUGCCAGCACGUAAUGGUGGGAACUCUAGGGAGACUGCCGGUGAUAAACCGGAGGAAGGUGGGGACGACGUCAAGUCAUCAUGGCCCUUACGGGAUGGGCUACACACGUGCUACAAUGGCAAAUACAAAGGGUUGCUAACCUGCGAGGGUAUGCGAAUCUCAUAAAGUUUGUCGUAGUCCGGAUCGGAGUCUGCAACUCGACUCCGUGAAGUUGGAAUCGCUAGUAAUCGUGGAUCAGAAUGCCACGGUGAAUACGUUCCCGGGCCUUGUACACACCGCCCGUCACACCAUGGGAGUGGGCUGCACCAGAAGUCAUUAGCUUAACCUUCGGGAUGGCGAUGACCACGGUGUGGUUCAUGACUGGGGUGAA